Molecule: ribosomal RNA, 403 nt
Filed under: uncultured bacterium
Lineage: Bacteria
Description: partial 16S ribosomal RNA
Rfam family: Bacterial small subunit ribosomal RNA
Source: RNAcentral
GACGAACGCUGGCGGCGUGCCUAAUACAUGCAAGUCGAACGCAGUGGGGACGGGUGAGUAACACGUGGGUAACCUCCCAUCAGAGGGGAUAACACUUGGAAACAGGUGCUAAACCGAUACUGAUGGAUGGACCCGCGGUGCAUUAGCUAGUUGGUGAGGUAACGGCUCACCAAGGCCACGAUGCAUAGCCGAGCUGAGAGGGGAAGAGGCCGAACUGGGACGGAGACACGGCCAAGACUCCUACGUGAGGCAGCAGUAGGGAAGGUUCGGCAAUGGACGAAAGUCUGACUGAGCAACGUCGGGUGAGUGAAGAAGGUUUUCGUAUCGUAAAACUCUGUUGUGAGAGAAGCGGGAUCUAACCAGAAAGCCACGUCUAACUACGUGCCAGAAGCCUCGGUAAUUC